CCUACGGGUGGCAGCAGUGGGGGAUAUUGCACAAUGGGGGAAACCCUGAUGCAGCGACGCCGCGUGUGGGAAGACGGUCCUCUGGAUUGUAAACCACUGUCCCCAGGGACGAAGAUGACGGUACCUGGGGAGGAAGCUCCGGCUAACUACGUGCCAGCAGCCGCGGUAAUACGUAGGGAGCGAGCGUUGUCCGGAAUUACUGGGUGAAAAGGGAGCGUAGGCGGGACUGCAAGUUGGGUGUCAAAUCUACCGGCUCAACCGGUAGCCGCACUCAAAACUGCAGUUCUUGAGUGAAGUAGAGGCAGGCGGGAUUCCUAGUGUAGCGGUGAAAUGCGUAGAUAUUAGGAGGAACACCAGUGGCGAAGGCGGCCUGCUGGGCUUUUACUGACGCUGAGGCUCGAAAGUGUGGGGAGCAAACGGGAUUAGAUACCCCAGUAGUC
RNAcentral lists this ribosomal RNA (440 nucleotides) under uncultured bacterium. Its description in RNAcentral is "partial 16S ribosomal RNA". It matches the Rfam family "Bacterial small subunit ribosomal RNA", at positions 338 to 795 of the family's 1533-position model. The record is from RNAcentral.